AACGCGAAGAACCUUACCAGGUCUUGACAUACCAGUGCCAUUCUUAGAGAUAAGAAGUUACUUCGGUACACUGGAUACAGGUGGUGCAUGGUUGUCGUCAGCUCGUGUCGUGAGAUGUUGGGUUAAGUCCCGCAACGAGCGCAACCCCUAUUGUUAGUUGCCAUCAUUAAGUUGGGCACUCUAGCGAGACUGCCGGUAAUAAACCGGAGGAAGGUGGGGAUGACGUCAAAUCAUCAUGCCCCUUAUGACCUGGGCUACACACGUGCUACAAUGGUCGGUACAGAGGGUUGCCAAGCCGCGAGGUGGAGCUAAUCCCACAAAACCGAUCGUAGUCCGGAUCGCAGUCUGCAACUCGACUGCGUGAAGUCGGAAUCGCUAGUAAUCGCGAAUCAGAAUGUCGCGGUGAAUACGUUCCCGGGUCUUGUACACACCG
This 433-nucleotide ribosomal RNA is filed under the name uncultured bacterium. RNAcentral describes it as "bacterial SSU rRNA". It matches the Rfam family "Bacterial small subunit ribosomal RNA", at positions 958 to 1392 of the family's 1533-position model. The record is from RNAcentral.